This 220-nucleotide unclassified non-coding RNA is filed under the name Hevea brasiliensis (rubber tree). Lineage: Eukaryota; Viridiplantae; Streptophyta; Magnoliopsida; Malpighiales; Euphorbiaceae. The record is from RNAcentral.
GACCAGCAGGGUUUGUUGGAAUCUGUCAAAAGAUAUAAAAUCAAAAGAAAAGCCAACAAUGACUGAAAAUGAGUAAAAUACUUAAGAAAAACAACACAUACUUCAGACCUGUUAAACAGCAAGGCAGUUGACAUUUACAAGCUAAAGUACUAACAAAUCUUUUGGACCCCAAUUUUACUGAAAUUUUAGUAUUUGCGUUGAAUUGAAGUGUAAAUUCUAU